UUGAGAUAACUGUGGUAAUUCUAGAGCUAAUACAUGCGUAAAGACCCAACUUUUUGGACGGGUUGUAUUUAUUAGAUACAAAACCAAUCGGUUUCGGACGUUUUGGAUGAUUCAUGAUAAACGUACGGAGCGUAUGGCGUGAGCCGACGCUGUAGCAGUCAGGUUUCUGACCUAUCAGCUUUCGACGGUAGGGUAUUGGCCUACCGUGGCAUUGACGGGCAACGGAGAAUUAGGGUUCGAUUCCGGAGAGGGAGCCCGAGAAACGGCUACCACAUCUAAGGAAGGCAGCAGGCGCGCAAAUUACCCAAUCCUGACAUAGGGAGGUAGUGACAAGAAAUAGCAAAUCAGGCCUCUUCGAGGUUGUGGUAUUGGAAUGAGUAGAAUUUAAAUCUCUUUACGACUAUCCAUUGGAGGGCAAGUCUGGUGCCAGCAAGCCGCGGUAAUUCCAGCUCCAAUAGCGUAUAUUAAAGUUGUUGCGGUUAAAAAGCUCGUAGUUGGAUUUCUGUUGAGGAUGACCGGUCCGCUCUUUGAGCGCGUAUCUGGUUCAACCUUGGGCAUCCUCUUGGGGAACGCUACUGUGCUUGAUUGCAUGGGGCGGUAUUCAAGACUUUUACUUUGAGGAAAUUAGAGUGUUCACUGCAAGCGUUAGCANUUGAAUACAUUAGCAUGGAAUAAUAAUAUAGGACCUUGGGACUAUUUUGUUGGUUUCUAGAACUAAGGUAAUGAUUAAUACGGACAAUUG
This 742-nucleotide ribosomal RNA is filed under the name Uncultured marine alveolate Group II DH145-EKD18. Its description in RNAcentral is "bacterial SSU rRNA". It matches the Rfam family "Eukaryotic small subunit ribosomal RNA", at positions 139 to 884 of the family's 1831-position model. The record is from RNAcentral.